UGGGGAAUUGUUCGCAAUGGGCGCAAGCCUGACGACGCAACGCCGCGUGGAGGAUGAAGGUCUUCGGAUUGUAAACUCCUGUUGCUCGGGACGAAAUGCCUCGACCUAAUACGUCGAAGUUUGACGGUACCGAGUGAGGAAGCCCCGGCUAACUCUGUGCCAGCAGCCGCGGUAGUACAGAGGGGGCAAGCGUUGUUCGGAAUUACUGGGCGUAAAGGGCGCGUAGGCGGCCUGUUAAGUCGAACGUGAAAUCCCUGGGCUCAACCCAGGAACUGCGUCCGAUACUGGCAGGCUUGAAUCCGGGAGAGGGAUGCGGAAUUCCAGGUGUAGCGGUGAAAUGCGUAGAUAUCUGGAGGAACACCGGUGGCGAAGGCGGCAUCCUGGACCGGUAUUGACGCUGAGGCGCGAAAGCCAGGGGAGCAAACGGGAUUAGAUACCCCAGUAGUCCCUGAGCGGGCUGGCAAGGCGCAU
This 471-nucleotide ribosomal RNA is filed under the name uncultured bacterium. RNAcentral's name for it is "bacterial SSU rRNA". It matches the Rfam family "Bacterial small subunit ribosomal RNA", at positions 355 to 825 of the family's 1533-position model. The record is from RNAcentral.